GUUCGGAAUCACUGGGCGUAAAGGGCGCGUAGGCGGCCCGCACAAGUCUGCGGUGAAAACCCCCGGCUUAACCGGGGGCCGGCCGUGGAAACUGUCGGGCUAGAGGCCGGGAGAGGGCAGCGGAAUUCCCGGUGUAGCGGUGAAAUGCGCAGAUAUCAGGGGGAACACCAAUUGCGAAGGCAGCUCGCUGGGACGUUACUGACGCUGAGACGCGAAAGCGUGGGGAGCAAACAGG
This 235-nucleotide ribosomal RNA is filed under the name uncultured bacterium. Its description in RNAcentral is "partial 16S ribosomal RNA". It matches the Rfam family "Bacterial small subunit ribosomal RNA", at positions 543 to 776 of the family's 1533-position model. The record is from RNAcentral.